RNAcentral lists this ribosomal RNA (966 nucleotides) under Tetrancistrum nebulosi. RNAcentral's name for it is "16S ribosomal RNA". The stretch from base 612 to 966 matches the Rfam family "Bacterial large subunit ribosomal RNA", at positions 2049 to 2711 of the family's 2925-position model. The record is from RNAcentral. Lineage: Eukaryota; Metazoa; Platyhelminthes; Monogenea; Dactylogyridea; Ancyrocephalidae.
AACAAGAUAUUAGAGUAUAGUAUUAUUUAAUUUAGUUGUUACCUUUUGCAUCAUGAUAUAAUGAUUAUUAGGGUGUAAACCCAAAAACCGAAGCAGGCAGAUUUACCUUAUUUAUUUUCGAGCUGGGUAAGUUUAAAAGAAAAUUUGGUGGAAAUGAUAAGUUAAUCGUUGUUUGGUAUAACUGGUUAUUAAGUUUUUAAUAAUAGUUAGCCUACUAGUGGGGAGAUUAGGAGGCUGUAAGAAAGGUGUUUAGAUAUUAAAAUAUUAGAAGGGAAUAAAGGUAUCCUGUCUUUUUAGGUGUUAUAACCAGUAUUUAAAUUUAAUUAAGCUUCUUUUAUAAAACUUAAUAUGUAAAAUUUAACGGGACCAAUAAAAUGUUAUAAUAAGUAGCUAAGUAGUUAAACAAUUUCUCGUCUUAAACCGAAAUGUUUAUUAAAAACUUUUCUAUAAGCAAAUAUUUAUAGUAAGACCUGCUCAAUGCAUUUUGUUAAUAGCCGCAGUAUCUUGACUGUGCUAAGGUAGCAUAAUUAAUUGUCCCCUAAAUAGGGAAUUGUUUGAAUGGUUAAAUUGGUUUAUUGGAUAUUAUUCGACUCAUAAAAUGAAAUUAGUAACUGAGUAAAGAGCCUCAGUAUUAACUAAAAGACGGAAAGACCCCGAGAACUUGAUUAAAUUUUAUUUGGGGCAAAGUUCUUUGUUCAAAGAAAUUAUGAACCUUUAGUAGAAAGUUUAAUGGUAAAGCUACCUCGGGGAUAACAGGGUUAGAGGCAAGGAGAGUUCGUAUCGAUUUGCCUAAUUGCUACCUCGAUGUUGACUUGGAAGGGCUUUUAGGUGCAGCAGCUUAAAAAGCAAGCCUGUUCGGCUUUUAAAUUUCUUCAUGAGUUGAGUUAAGACCGGUGUGAGCCAGGUCGGUUCUUAUCUUUAUUUGUACCUUCUUAGUACGAAAGGAUUGGAAGGUGUUUAAGUUAA